Molecule: transfer RNA, 73 nt
Filed under: Bos taurus (domestic cattle)
Lineage: Eukaryota; Metazoa; Chordata; Mammalia; Artiodactyla; Bovidae
Also listed under: 5 other names
Rfam family: tRNA
About the family: Transfer RNA (tRNA) molecules are approximately 80 nucleotides in length. Their secondary structure includes four short double-helical elements and three loops (D, anti-codon, and T loops).
Source: Rfam by way of RNAcentral
UCCCUGGUGGUCCAGUGGCUAAGACUCUGUGCUCCCAAUGCAGGGGGCCUGGGUUCGAUCCCUGGUCAGAGAA